GGCAGGUCUAUCACGAGCAUGAACAGAUGCAUGCAUGCACACACACAAUAUAAUGGUGUUGAAUUGCAGUACCUAGAAAGCCUAUUUCCUAUACUGCUUUCACAUAGGAUUCCCGGUAUUCUGCCUGUAAAUAAAUUGGGCAAUGUUUCUUUCAAACAGCCCUAUUUUAUAAAGCAUUCACCUUUUAUAUAGCCAUUGCUUUUGCCGGGAAGGAGCAAGAGACAUUAAACUUUGACCCGGUUGUUGUAGUCAGUUUAAAUUCAGACCCUCCACUGCUUUCAUUUCUUCACACUCACAACAGUAGAGCGGGUGGCCGGAGAAAGCAGAGCAAGGUGGGUGGAAAGGACGGAUCAGGCAGAGCAGUGACUGUAUGCUUGCAUGAUAGUCCAUAUCCCCAAUCAUCUUUGCUGAUAGCGAUGUGUUUCCAUAAGUGGAGGAAUUGGUCUAAUUUAGUAUGUAUGGUAACGCUUCAACCCUUAGCUACCUCUUCCAAUUCAAAAGAGCCAAAAUGCGUCAGAGGAUAACCUGCCAGCCCGGCUUCGGUCGGGUCAUUAUAAAUAAAAACAAUGCAUUCUAAAAUAAAUCACACACAUGCCUCGCAUGCUUGCCUUUGGUGAGUUUAGGCCAUAAGUUAGCAGUUUGCCUACUUGUAUUUGGAUACUCAAAACGUUGUCAGAUAUGUUCUGGUAGGCUAAUUAUGAGCUGGCUAGACAACAAAAUCCAUUAUUAAAUUAGUUAAUGCAGGUCCUAAGAAACAUAAGACUAACACAAUACAUUUUUUAAAGAAUUGAAUAGCAUAUUUUGAGUUGAAUUAUGUUAUUGGUCAGUGCAGCCCAUGGCUACACAGACCAUUGUCUGAAUUGUGGGUGUCCCUGGCUCCCCAGUGGGUGUCCCUAUGCUCUCCCAGGCCAACCCAUGGCUGCGCCCCUGCCCAGUCAUGUGAAAUCCAUAGAUGUAGGGCCUAAUGAAUUUCUUUCAAUUGACUGAUUUCCUUAUAUGAACUAACUCAGUAAAAUCAUUGAAAUUGUUGGAUAAUGCAUUCAUAAUUUUGUUCAUUAGAAGAUCAAAAGGUCAAAGAGGGGUAGAGUGAAUAAAGUAAAAAUAAAUAAAAGACAUUUACACCAACAAUAACUUGUUUUUGUAAUUGCCCUGAAAUCUUUGCAAAUUGUAAGUGUUGAGAGUGGGGUGCACUACAACUACUGUUCUACUAUUUACCAUUUAGUCUAAUUUCACUCUAAAAUAUUUGCUUUUUAAUGAGUUUGAAGCACGAGAACCAAGUAGAGGGUGUUUUACAUAAUGGGAGGUAACCCUUGGGACACCCUUCCCUUCAAAUAUUUGACGAGUGUCCUCAUUUUUCCUGCUGCAUGUGUCCACCUGUCAAUACAGUGAUGGAUGUGACAGCCUCUCUCAGGCUGUGAUCAAGGCAGGCCAUACGUUUCUGUCUGCUGCAGAGAACACAGCACAGUCAGACACCUUAAGACAGUCACGUGUUUCCCUGCUCAUCAUUGUAAUGGCAAAAAAAAUACCUGACUACUCUAUAUACCAUGUCCAUGUGAGGGUUGAUUAUUUGUGCUGCUUGACAGUAACAAUGUGAAAAUGCUUGGCAUUUGAUGCAACCACUGUAGUACAACUCCAUGCUUGCUAUGGAUUGUGUGCUGUGACGUUCCGUGGCAUCUAUUCAAAAUGUUAUGGUUC
Molecule: long non-coding RNA, 1695 nt
Filed under: Salmo salar (Atlantic salmon)
Lineage: Eukaryota; Metazoa; Chordata; Actinopteri; Salmoniformes; Salmonidae
Description: lncRNA (ENSSSAG00000102666.1)
Source: RNAcentral